Molecule: ribosomal RNA, 561 nt
Filed under: Salegentibacter sp. QJHH7
Lineage: Bacteria; Pseudomonadati; Bacteroidota; Flavobacteriia; Flavobacteriales; Flavobacteriaceae
Description: bacterial SSU rRNA
Rfam family: Bacterial small subunit ribosomal RNA
Source: RNAcentral
CCAGUGGAUGGCAUGGGCGAGAGCCUGAUCCAGCCAUGCCGCGUGCAGGAAGACUGCCCUAUGGGUUGUAAACUGCUUUUACAGAGGAAGAACCACUCCCACGUGUGGGAGUUUGACGGUACUCUGCGAAUAAGGAUCGGCUAACUCCGUGCCAGCAGCCGCGGUAAUACGGAGGAUCCGAGCGUUAUCCGGAAUCAUUGGGUUUAAAGGGUCCGUAGGCGGGCAAUUAAGUCAGUGGUGAAAGUCUUCCGCUCAACGGGAGAACUGCCAUUGAUACUGAUUGUCUUGAGUUAUUAUGAAGUGGUUAGAAUGAGUAGUGUAGCGGUGAAAUGCAUAGAUAUUACUCAGAAUACCGAUUGCGAAGGCAGAUCACUAAUAAUACACUGACGCUGAUGGACGAAAGCGUAGGUAGCGAACAGGAUUAGAUACCCUGGUAGUCUACGCCGUAAACGAUGGUUACUAGCUGUUCGGCCCGAUUAAGGGGUGAGUGGUUAAGCGAAAGUGAUAAAUAAACCACCUGUGGAGUACGUUCGCAUUAAUGAGACUCAACGGAAAUUGACC